Molecule: non-coding RNA, 714 nt
Organism: Hyaena hyaena (striped hyena)
Lineage: Eukaryota; Metazoa; Chordata; Mammalia; Carnivora; Hyaenidae
Source: the annotation of a RefSeq genome assembly
AGCCCCAGCCCCGGGAGUCCCAGGUGUUCCCAUUCUGUGAUCAGGACAGAACACAGACAUCUCACCAUGGACUUUGUGCUUGGCUGGGUUUUCCUUGUUGCUGUUUUAAAAGGUGUCCAGUGUGAGGUGCAGCUGGUGGAGUCUGGGGGAGGCCUGGUGAAGCCUGGAGGGUCCCUGAGACUCUCCUGUGCAGCUUCCGGAUUCACCUUCAGUAGCUACGGCAUGGGCUGGGUCCGCCAGGCUCCAGGGAAGGGGCUGGAGUGGGUUGGAUAUAUUAAUAGUGGUGGAAGUACAGGCUACGCAGACUCCGUGAAGGGCCGAUUCUCCAUCUCCAGAGACAACGCCAAGAACACACUGUAUCUACAGAUGAACAACCUGAGAGUCGAAGACACGGCCACGUAUUUCUGUGCGAGAGACACAGUGAGGAGUGAUCAGUGUGAGCCCAGACACAAAUCUCCCUGGAGAAGGGGAUCAGCACCACUAUGGGGUGCACACUAUGCACAGCUCUGGUGCCCCCCGUUCCCAGAAAGCGAGAGGAAAAAACUGCACUUCAGCAGUCCUGGCGCCAUCCCUGGUGACAAGGGUUGGUGGCUCUGCGGCCCCAUCCCUGGCGGUGGCGGCCGGAUGGCACUCGUGGCGCAUGUUGGCAGCGCAGACUCUGUGGACCUGAAGUUGCUACUUCCCCGCACGCACUUGGGCUGUAUAGGUGUUUGA